UGAAGGAUAUCCUUAAAUAUGUUGGCUGGUUUAUAGGUUUAGUAGUUGUAUAGUUGUAUUGUUUCUAGGGAAUAUAAUAAAGCGACCAAUUUUCUUGAUUAGCAACAUAAUAAGCAUAAAAGUAUAUCAAGCAAUUAAACCUGCAAGAGAAUCCAAGCAUGCAGCUGUUACAAGGCACCCUUCCAAGUUUAGUAAGGAAAGCUUUUGCAACCCUGAAAUGAACCAGGACAUCAUCGAAAAUUAAUGAAGCAUAGAUAAUUAUGAAAUACUGAAACUCAAGAAUUCUGUUCAAACUGGCAAGCUGAGAUGCUAGUAUUGUAUAUCGAUACUGUUUAUAGUUCACACUGCAACACGUCUACUGACUAACAUAAACAAUAUCAACUUCAGAAAUUACAAGGACAAAUAAAAAAACAAAGAGACUUUUCCAAGAAUGAUUUAUACAACUGAAGUCUACAUCAAAGAAAUGAAGCACAAGGAAGAUUGGAUAUAUAACUGAAAUUUUUCCCCAGAAAAGACAAACUGAUUGGUUGAUAGCUGCAUUCAGAAUUAUAACCAUAUAUUCACAUAAAAACAGAAAACAAAAAAAAAAUCCAUGGAAGAAGAUAAAAAUGCUAGGUUGAACCUAUAAAAUAAAAAAUCCUGAUUGUUCUGAAACACCACAAUAAUACAAGAAAACGGAAAGUACCUUUUAGAAAGCUGAUGCUAAAAUUAGCGACUUUACUGCAAGAAAUGUCAAGACUCUCCAAACACGCCAACUCUGGAAGCAAAUUGAAUAAAAUACAUUGUUCUGUUAAUCAUUGAACCAUGUGUUGACUAAGACAACAA
RNAcentral lists this long non-coding RNA (825 nucleotides) under Arachis ipaensis. RNAcentral describes it as "long non-coding RNA (AIPA_LNC000361)". The record is from RNAcentral. Lineage: Eukaryota; Viridiplantae; Streptophyta; Magnoliopsida; Fabales; Fabaceae.